AUCAUUGAGUGAAUACAUAGCUCAAUGAAGCGAACCGGGAGAACUGAAACAUCUAAGUACCCCGAGGAAAAGAAAUCAACCGAGAUUCCGAAAGUAGCGGCGAGCGAAAUUGGAUUAGCCCUUAAGCUUUACAUGUGUUAGACGAACGGUCUGGAAAGUCCGACGAUACAGGGUGAUAGUCCCGUAGUUGUAGAUGCAUGUUCAGUGAAAUCGAGUAGGGCGGGACACGUGUUAUCCUGUCUGAAUAUGGGGGGACCAUCCUCCAAGGCUAAAUACUCCUGACUGACCGAUAGUGAACCAGUACCGUGAGGGAAAGGCGAAAAGAACCCCUGUGAGGGGAGUGAAAUAGAACCUGAAACCGUGUACGUACAAGCAGUAGGAGCACCUUCGUGGUGUGACUGCGUACCUUUUGUAUAAUGGGUCAGCGACUUAUAUUCAGUGGCAAGGUUAACCAUCUAGGGGAGCCGUAGGGAAACCGAGUCUUAACUGGGCGCCAUAGUCUCUGGAUAUAGACCCGAAACCGAGUGAUCUAGCCAUGGGCAGGUUGAAGGUUGAGUAACAUCAACUGGAGGACCGAACCGACUAAUGUUGAAAAAUUAGCGGAUGACUUGUGGCUAGGGGUGAAAGGCCAAUCAAACUCGGAGAUAGCUGGUUCUCCCCGAAAGCUAUUUAGGUAGCGCCUCGGACGAAUACUACUGGGGGUAGAGCACUGUUAAGGCUAGGGGGUCAUCCCGACUUACCAACCCUUUGCAAACUCCGAAUACCAGUAAGUACUAUCCGGGAGACACACGGCGGGUGCUAACGUCCGUCGUGGAGAGGGAAACAACCCAGACCGCCAGCUAAGGUCCCAAAUUACAGCUAAGUGGGAAACGAUGUGGGAAGGCUUAGACAGCUAGGAUGUUGGCUUAGAAGCAGCCAUCAUUUAAAGAAAGCGUAAUAGCUCACUAGUCGAGUCGGCCUGCGCGGAAGAUGUAACGGGGCUAAGUUGUAAACCGAAGCUGCGGCAAUGUUCUUUGAACAUUGGGUAGGGGAGCGUUCUGUAAGCCGUUGAAGGUGUGUUGUAAAGCAUGCUGGAGGUAUCAGAAGUGCGAAUGCUGACAUGAGUAACGACAAGGGGGGUGAAAAACCUCCCCGCCGGAAGACCAAGGGUUCCUGUCCAACGUUAAUCGGGGCAGGGUAAGUCGACCCCUAAGGCGAGGCCGAAAGGCGUAGUCGAUGGGAAACGGGUUAAUAUUCCCGUACUUCUUACAAUUGCGAUGGGGGGACGGAGAAGGCUAGGUGGGCCUGGCGACGGUUGUCCAGGUUCAAGUGCGUAGGCUGAGUGUUUAGGUAAAUCCGGACACUCUUAAGGCUGAGACACGACGUCGAGCUACUACGGUAGUGAAGUCAUUGAUGCCAUGCUUCCAGGAAAAGCCUCUAAGCUUCAGAUUGUAAGGAAUCGUACCCCAAACCGACACAGGUGGUCGGGUAGAGAAUACCAAGGCGCUUGAGAGAACUCGGGUGAAGGAACUAGGCAAAAUGGUACCGUAACUUCGGGAGAAGGUACGCUCUUGAUGGUGAAGUCCCUUGCGGAUGGAGCUGACGAGAGUCGCAGAUACCAGGUGGCUGCAACUGUUUAUUAAAAACACAGCACUGUGCAAAAUCGUAAGAUGACGUAUACGGUGUGACGCCUGCCCGGUGCCGGAAGGUUAAUUGAUGGGGUUAGCGUAAGCGAAGCUCUUGAUCGAAGCCCCGGUAAACGGCGGCCGUAACUAUAACGGUCCUAAGGUAGCGAAAUUCCUUGUCGGGUAAGUUCCGACCUGCACGAAUGGCGUAAUGAUGGCCACGCUGUCUCCACCCGAGACUCAGUGAAAUUGAAAUCGCUGUGAAGAUGCAGUGUACCCGCGGCUAGACGGAAAGACCCCGUGAACCUUUACUACAGCUUGGCACUGAACAUUGAACCUACAUGUGUAGGAUA
This 1957-nucleotide ribosomal RNA is filed under the name Vibrio vulnificus. Its description in RNAcentral is "partial 23S ribosomal RNA". It matches the Rfam family "Bacterial large subunit ribosomal RNA", at positions 150 to 2145 of the family's 2925-position model. The record is from RNAcentral. Lineage: Bacteria; Pseudomonadati; Pseudomonadota; Gammaproteobacteria; Vibrionales; Vibrionaceae.